RNAcentral lists this transfer RNA (80 nucleotides) under Rathayibacter rathayi. Its description in RNAcentral is "tRNA-Val". It matches the Rfam family "tRNA". Rfam says of the family: Transfer RNA (tRNA) molecules are approximately 80 nucleotides in length. The record is from RNAcentral. Lineage: Bacteria; Bacillati; Actinomycetota; Actinomycetes; Micrococcales; Microbacteriaceae.
AGGCGAUUCGCCCGAUUCAGUGGCACCGCGCUUCCUUCACACGGAAGAGGUCAUCGGUUCGAGUCCGGUAUCGCCCACCC